UUGACCCGGCGAUGUCCGAAUGGGGAAACCCAGUGCAAUCCGUUGCACUAUCGUUAACUGAAUACAUAGGUUAACGAGGCGAACCGGGGGAACUGAAACAUCUAAGUACCCCGAGGAAAAGAAAUCAACCGAGAUUCCCCCAGUAGCGGCGAGCGAACGGGGAGCAGCCCGGAGUCUGAAUCAGCUUGUGUGUUAGUGGAACGGUCUGGAAAGUCCGACGGUACAGGGUGAUAGUCCCGUACACGAAAGCACACUUGCUGUGAACUCGAAGAGUAGGGCGGGACACGUGGUAUCCUGUCUGAAUAUGGGGGGACCAUCCUCCAAGGCUAAAUACUCCUGACUGACCGAUAGUGAACCAGUACCGUGAGGGAAAGGCGAAAAGAACCCCGGCGAGGGGAGUGAAAAAGAACCUGAAACCGUGUACGUACAAGCAGUGGGAGCCUCUUUAUGGGGUGACUGCGUACCUUUUGUAUAAUGGGUCAGCGACUUAUAUUCUGUAGCAAGGUUAACCGUAUAGGGGAGCCGAAGGGAAACCGAGUCUUAACUGGGCGUUAAGUUGCAGGGUAUAGACCCGAAACCCGGUGAUCUAGCCAUGGGCAGGUUGAAGGUUGGGUAACACUAACUGGAGGACCGAACCGACUAAUGUUGAAAAAUUAGCGGAUGACCUGUGGCUGGGGGUGAAAGGCCAAUCAAACCGGGAGAUAGCUGGUUCUCCCCGAAAGCUAUUUAGGUAGCGCCUCGUGAACUCAUCUUCGGGGGUAGAGCACUGUUUCGGCUAGGGGGCCAUCCCGGCUUACCAACCCGAUGCAAACUACGAAUACCGAAGAAUGUUAUCACGGGAGACACACGGCGGGUGCUAACGUCCGUCGUGAAGAGGGAAACAACCCAGACCGCCAGCUAAGGUCCCAAAGUCAUGGUUAAGUGGGAAACGAUGUGGGAAGGCACAGACAGCCAGGAUGUUGGCUUAGAAGCAGCCAUCAUUUAAAGAAAGCGUAAUAGCUCACUGGUCGAGUCGGCCUGCGCGGAAGAUGUAACGGGGCUAAACCAUGCACCGAAGCUGCGGCAGCGACACUAUGUGUUGUUGGGUAGGGGAGCGUUCUGUAAGCCGUUGAAGGUGUGCUGUGAGGCAUGCUGGAGGUAUCAGAAGUGCGAAUGCUGACAUAAGUAACGAUAAAGCGGGUGAAAAGCCCGCUCGCCGGAAGACCAAGGGUUCCUGUCCAACGUUAAUCGGGGCAGGGUGAGUCGACCCCUAAGGCGAGGCCGAAAGGCGUAGUCGAUGGGAAACAGGUUAAUAUUCCUGUACUUGGUGUUACUGCGAAGGGGGGACGGAGAAGGCUAUGUCAGCCGGGCGACGGUUGUCCCGGUUUAAGCAUGUAGGCGGAGGUUCCAGGUAAAUCCGGUACCUU
Molecule: ribosomal RNA, 1406 nt
Filed under: Enterobacter hormaechei
Lineage: Bacteria; Pseudomonadati; Pseudomonadota; Gammaproteobacteria; Enterobacterales; Enterobacteriaceae
Also listed under: 2 other names
Description: bacterial LSU rRNA
Rfam family: Bacterial large subunit ribosomal RNA
Source: RNAcentral